RNAcentral lists this long non-coding RNA (412 nucleotides) under Homo sapiens (human). Its description in RNAcentral is "non-protein coding lnc-PSME4-1:1". The record is from RNAcentral. Lineage: Eukaryota; Metazoa; Chordata; Mammalia; Primates; Hominidae.
AUAACGAACACAAAGGGAGAGAGGAGAGGCGCUGGGUAGAUAUUCUCUAGGCCGUUUAGAAAACGUGGAGUUGUUCCUUUGGCCAUGUAUAUGCGAAAUCUGUAAGAAAGGUGAUAUUGUAGACAUCAAGGGAGUGGGCACUGUUCAAAUAGGAAUGCCCCCCAAGUGUCACCAUGGCUAAACUGGAAGAGCCUACAAUGUUCCCCAGCAUGCUGUUGGCAUUGUUGUAAACAAACAAGUUAAGGGCAAGAUUCCUGCCAAGAGAAUUAACGUGGGUAUUAAGCACUUUAAGCACUCUACAAGCUAAGAGAAUUUCCUGAAACGCAUGAAGGAAAAUGAUCAGAAAAAGAAGGAAGCCAAAGAGAAAGUUACCUGGAUUCAACUGAAGCACCAGUCAGCUCCACCCAGAGAA